CUUGAUGGAGCCGAGCCACAACGGCCGCUCCGCGUCCCGCUGCUGCCCAUACGUGGCCAGCAGCGCCUGCGCCUC
This is a non-coding RNA of Streptomyces violaceusniger Tu 4113, 75 nucleotides long. The record is from Rfam. NCBI's taxonomy places the organism in Bacteria, Bacillati, Actinomycetota, Actinomycetes, Kitasatosporales, Streptomycetaceae.